Molecule: small nucleolar RNA, 133 nt
Organism: Cercocebus atys (sooty mangabey)
Lineage: Eukaryota; Metazoa; Chordata; Mammalia; Primates; Cercopithecidae
Source: Ensembl
CUCUCACCUAAAGCCAAGAAUCACUGUUUCUUGUAGCAGUGGUUUAAACAGAGGUAUAAACAGCAAGUGAAUCUCGUCGUCUUUGCAGGGCUGUGGCCAUGCCCCUCAAAGUGAAUUUAGAGGCUCUACAGCC